UGGGGUGUAGCCAAGUGGUUAAGGCAUCGGAUUUUGAUUCCGACAUGCGAGGGUUCAAAUCCUUCCACCCCAG
This 73-nucleotide transfer RNA is filed under the name Candidatus Ichthyocystis hellenicum. Its description in RNAcentral is "bacterium 2013Arg42i tRNA". It matches the Rfam family "tRNA". Rfam says of the family: Transfer RNA (tRNA) molecules are approximately 80 nucleotides in length. Their secondary structure includes four short double-helical elements and three loops (D, anti-codon, and T loops). Further hydrogen bonds mediate the characteristic L-shaped molecular structure. tRNAs have two regions of fundamental functional importance: the anti-codon, which is responsible for specific mRNA codon recognition, and the 3' end, to which the tRNAs corresponding amino acid is attached (by aminoacyl-tRNA synthetases). tRNAs cope with the degeneracy of the genetic code in two manners: having more than one tRNA (with a specific anti-codon) for a particular amino acid; and 'wobble' base-pairing, i.e. permitting non-standard base-pairing at the 3rd anti-codon position. The record is from Rfam by way of RNAcentral. Lineage: Bacteria; Pseudomonadati; Pseudomonadota; Betaproteobacteria; Burkholderiales.